GGGGAAUAUUGCACAAUGGGCGAAAGCCUGAUGCAGCAACGCCGCGUGAGCGAAGAAGGCCUUUGGGUCGUAAAGCUCUGUCGGGUAGGAAGAUAAUGACGGUACUACCCGAGGAAGCCCCGGCUAACUACGUGCCAGCAGCCGCGGUAAUACGUAGGGGGCGAGCGUUAUCCGGAAUUACUGGGCGUAAAGAGUGCGUAGGUGGCUGCUUAAGCGUGAGGUGAAAGGCAAUGGCUUAACCAUUGUGAGCCUCGCGAACUGGGUGGCUUGAGUGCAGGAGAGGAAAGCGGAAUUCCUAGUGUAGCGGUGAAAUGCGUAGAUAUUAGGAGGAACACCAGUGGCGAAGGCGGCUUUCUGGACUGCAACUGACACUGAGGCACGAAAGCGUGGGGAGCAAAC
RNAcentral lists this ribosomal RNA (399 nucleotides) under uncultured bacterium. RNAcentral's name for it is "bacterial SSU rRNA". It matches the Rfam family "Bacterial small subunit ribosomal RNA", at positions 356 to 773 of the family's 1533-position model. The record is from RNAcentral.